AAGUGUUACAGUUCCUUUAGAAUUUGUCUAUAAGAUUUCCAAUUUCCAAAAUUGGAAAAAA
RNAcentral lists this small nuclear RNA (61 nucleotides) under Otolemur garnettii (small-eared galago). RNAcentral describes it as "U7 small nuclear RNA (ENSOGAG00000023708.1)". Lineage: Eukaryota; Metazoa; Chordata; Mammalia; Primates; Galagidae. The record is from RNAcentral.